CCCGAUGUUGUCUCUUUUAUCCCCACCUUUCUUUCAAGAGGAUCUGUAUAUGUCUUGCUAUUUGUUUAACAUAAAUGCUCAUCCCUCUUUCUUAUCAGAAUAGGGAAGGCUUUUUAAAGGACGUCAUGAAGAUAAUUUAUGAAUUUAUGAUUGGUGUCGAACUCGAUUGGGACUGCACGUCAAAUGAGCCGAUCAUGGCCA
This 201-nucleotide long non-coding RNA is filed under the name Elaeis guineensis (African oil palm). Its description in RNAcentral is "long non-coding RNA (EGUI_LNC010306)". The record is from RNAcentral. Lineage: Eukaryota; Viridiplantae; Streptophyta; Magnoliopsida; Arecales; Arecaceae.